CAGCCGCCGCGGUAAUACGUAGGGUGCUAGCGUUAAUCGGAUUUACUGGGCGUAAAGCGUGCGCAGGCGGCCCGUUAAGACAGGUGUGAAAUCCCUGGGCUCAACCUAGGAAUUGCGCUUGUGACUGGCGGGCUCGAGUACGGUAGAGGGGGGUGGAAUUCCUGGUGUAGCAGUGAAAUGCGUAGAGAUCAGGAGGAACACCGAUGGCGAAGGCAGCCCCCUGGGCCUGUACUGACGCUCAUGCACGAAAGCGUGGGGAGCAAACAGGAUUAGAUACCCUGGUAGUCCACGCCCUAAACGAUGGGUACUAGCCGUUUGGUGCGCGAUAGCGCUGAGUGGCGAAGCUAACGCGUGAAGUACCCCGCCUGGGGAGUACGGCCGCAAGGUUGAAACUUAAAGGAAUUGGCGGG
RNAcentral lists this ribosomal RNA (410 nucleotides) under uncultured microorganism. RNAcentral's name for it is "bacterial SSU rRNA". It matches the Rfam family "Bacterial small subunit ribosomal RNA", at positions 509 to 917 of the family's 1533-position model. The record is from RNAcentral.